Molecule: long non-coding RNA, 6095 nt
Organism: Oreochromis aureus
Lineage: Eukaryota; Metazoa; Chordata; Actinopteri; Cichliformes; Cichlidae
Source: Ensembl
GGGGCGACCAUCUGUUGCAACUAGUUGGGAGGAAGUAACACAGGUUAAAAGACAUGCUGUGAAACAAAGCCAGAGAUUAAUGAUUGAUAAUUAAGUGCAAAUAAGUGUAUAAACCCACAGUGAGUGACUGAAGAAGCAACACUCAAUGCAUCAUGGGAAUCCCCCAGCAGCUUCGACCUAUUGCAGCAUAACUAAGUGACGAUAUAGGAUCACCUGAUUCAAUCCUAUCUGUAAACUUUAUCAAAAAGAAAAGCAUAGUCUAAAAAGUAGAGAGGGUAUUUGUCUCCCAAAUCCAAACUGGCAGCUGGUUCCACAUAGGCUCUGCCUCCCAUUCUACUUUAAAAUACUCAGGGAACAACAAAUAAGAAUAGAAUAGAAUACUUACUAAUCCCUUGGGGAGGUCCCCAUGGGGAAAUCAUGGUUCCAGGAGCACAACACCUUAAAUACAAAUAAGAAAAAAAAACAGGUACAAAUGAUUAAGAAUAAAAUGUCAGCAGCAAUAGAAUUUACAAGGCAAUAAAUCCAGGAAUUAAAGUGUAAUACAGUCACCAACUGUCAGUGUGUUUGUUUAGGUCACUGCGUCUACAUCAUCCACCCCUCUCCUCCCCCUGCUGCUACUCCUUCCAAAGGGGCUUUUAGUCCUGCUGGGGAGGAGCAGCCUGUCACUGAUCAGGCUUCUCUGUGCGUUGAUGACAGUGUGCAGAGGGUGGCUGACAUUAUCCAUAAUAUUCAGAUGUUUGUCCAUGGGUCCUCUUCUCUGCCUGUCAGCAGAGAGUCCAACUUCAUGCCAACCACAGAGCCAGCCUGUCUGAUCAGCUUCUCCAACCUGCAGGAGUCCUUUCUGGAUGUACUUCUCCCCCAGCACACCACCACGUAAAAGAUCCCACUGGUGACCACAGACUGGUAGAACAUCCACAGGAGUUUCCUGCAGAUGUUAUCCUGUGAGCCGUGUUGCAAAACCAGUCCAGUGUGUUGUCUAGCUAAGCUCCAAAAUACUUGUAGUUUCCCACAACCUCAACCUCAUUUCCCUCUGUCAGAACUGGUUGAUGACUGGCUGAUGGUGCGGUUGUCCUGUUUCCAACUCUGUCUGCCCCCACGCUUCUGGGGGCAUUGCUGCAGCUUCCCACCCUCAUUAUCAAGUACAUUUGUGAGAAAAACACAGGGAUUUUCAUAGUCACACACACACACACUAUAGGAAGAAUAAAAACUAAAAAGAACUGGUCAAUGACAUGGUGUGGACUUUCCAUAGUUUACGAUAAACUCCUUGUUCUUUGAGGUGUUGAGCUGUAGGAGGUUCCUCUGGCUCCAGACAAAGUCACUCACCAGAUUUCUCUUCUCAUCUUCUCUGCCAUUCCUUAUACACCCCAUGAUGCCUGUGUCAUCUGCAAAUUUCUGACCAUGACACAUCACUGAGCAGAAGUCUGAAGUGUAUAAGGUGAAGAGAAGAGGGGCCAGCACCAUGCCCUGAGGUGCACCAGUGCUGCUGAGCGUAAGACUUGAUAUCCUUCAGCCUGAUAUAGUGUGGUCUUUCUGUGGGCUAGCUGCCGAUCCAGGUAGCCUCUCCUCCACGUUUUUUCCUGUAGGUGUCCUUGGCCACCUUCAGGCACUGCUUCACCUACCGCUGUGCUGACUUGAUAACUGUCCUGUCCUUUAUUCUGAAGGUCCCCUUCUUCCUGUUGAGGACACCCUUCACCACCUGUGUUAUCCAAGGUUUGUUAUUAGAAGAACAUUGUGCUGUCUUGACAGGGGAGACCACAUCCACACAGAUGUUCAGGUAGUCAGUCAGACAGCUGGCGGUCCCUUCAUUGUCCUUAUCACGUGGAUCCAGCAGCACAUCCCAGUCAGCGGAUUCAAAGCAGUCUCUCAGGGCAUUUCCCGAUACAGUGUGGUGAAGCAGACUGCCUUUUAACCAGAGGAGUGUACUGUAGUUAUGGUCUGACUUUCAGAGUUGGGGUAGAGGUGUGACUCUGUAUGCAUCCCUCACAUUAGCAUACAUGAGAUCAAUUGUGCUGUUAUUCCUACCGGACAGUUCACAAACUGGUGGAAGCAAAGUGGAGUCCAAUGAGACGUGAUUAAAAACAGAAAAUGAAAAAUGCCUCUGAAUACUGUGUCUGCAGCCGUGCUGCGACUGUGAGAAAUGUGUCACAGGCAGUAUCUGCAUCAAUGUGUUUUGGACUACAUUUUGAAAAAAGCAAACUGAGUCUAAUAAUUAAGGUUGAGGCUGUCAUUGUUAGCAUCUACAUGGAUGUUAAAAUCAACCACAAUAAUUAUUUUAUCUGAGCUGAGCACUAAAUCAGAUAAAAAGAAACACUGAGUAAGGCACAGGUGGAUGAUGGUCAACAGCAAAUAAAACUGGUUUUUGAGUUUUCCAGCUAGGACGGACAGACAAACAUCAGCAGAACUGUUUUGUAGUUUCUGGGUGGGACGCUCGAGUGAAUGGAUGCAUAUAGAAUGAUGAUUUAAUUGGUCAUUUAAACUUUUUAAAGAGCUUAUAUAAUUUAAUAUAUAAUCCUGGAAUCCCUUGUAUUUGUGGGUGACUCUUCUGGGGACUGUAUUGUCCUCCUGGGGGGGAUCGUGUGAUCUAGAGGGGUGUGAUUGGGAGAAACAGCCUCCACAGUCUAAACCCACGUGUUUUAUUGUUGGACUCCUUUAAAGGAAACAAGUUACAAUUUUUACAUUGCAAAAUUGAAGUAAUUAACUUUCAUCCAUUACCUACUGAGAAAAGAAAAUAAUGAGAGUACGACUGCAUUACCAGAUAAACACUUCUCAUUUGUCAUAUUUGUUUUUGUUACUAAGCUGUGUACAUACUGGAAGCACUUCACUCCUUGCACAUUGCUUUGUAGUUGAUGUCUCGUGGCCAUUCCCCCUCUGGCUUCCGAGCACUCCUCCUCCUGCUCUCCUGACUGAAUGCUGCUGCCUGAGCCCGGCCCCUCCUCAGCUCGAGGAGCUGCUUUUACUCACUCAAGCACCAAGGGACACAGGAAUCAUGACUCUGCUAUAGAGGGCAGCCUCUACGCAAGCUCCUCCAACAACAGACACAUUUCCCACAGCUGAUCUUCAAGGCAGAAUACAUCAUGAAGAAUCUCUAAGGACCUUUUCUUUCGUCUUUCCUCUGUGAAACUCACCUUUAAGUUUUCUGAAAUUCAAAAUUUGUUACGAAAGAUGAGUGUGAAAAAAAAGGCUGCACUUGUCAUCAGCUGGCAGAAGUCAUUUUCCAUCAUGGCCCCUUGGAGGAAAGGUAAAGGAGACAGUAAAAACACAUUACUGGACAGUGAGGUUGUCCUGACAAAAAUGAAGCUUUUCAGCAACUUCCAUGAAAGUCUUCUGAGGGCUGAUGACGCCGUGUCCACCAUUUCCACAGUGUCAGUUAUUGACCAGGAAAACUCACACUCCGAGCUGAAUUCUCAGCUUAAUGAAAAGCCUCAGAUCAAGUCUGGCUCCAAAUAUCUAUCUGCCAUUUUGUCAGAUUCUCAUCUCUCAAACUUGUACAAGUGUGAAUCUGAGGACUCUGGAGUGGAGCUCCCCAGCGGAGCUAAUUCACCAUCCACCCCAACAGGAUCUGAGCAGAGCUUUGUGGUCCACAGUCGAGAGUCUUCCUGUGACUCCUCCAACUUAAACUCUGAGCCCACCGUCCUCUCUGACAGACUCGUUGCAGAUACAAAGAACACUGAGAAAAACCAGGCAAAUGACUCAGCGGAUAACAGUUUAAAUACAACAGUGGAUACACAGGAUAGUUUGUUCAUUCAUUCAAAUACACUUAUUUCUUCGGCUAUAACAGUAGAGUUGCACAUAGGUGAGGAUGUGGACCAAUGCAGGGUUUUGGGUGCUGAACAAAGUGAGGAUGCUGAAGAAUCCAGUGCUGUGACAGGAAGGACCAGCUCAGAGGAUACGAGGCUUGGAGAGCAAUCCUUAAUACAAAGCUGUGAUGACAUGACAAGCAAAGUCUUUGAACCCGAGCCUAUUAAAAGGAGUAUCACCAGUGACAGCCUGGAAGAGUACAUGGAUGAAUGCUGCAGAUUAAGUAAGGAACAGCAAGUGAGCUCCAGCCCACUAUCAUCAGGACUGGGUUACCUGGAGCACAUCUGUCAACUCGUUGAGAAGAUCAGCCAGAUGCAGGAGACUAACCUCCAGCUGCAGAGGCAGCUCUGCAGUCUGCAAAAGGAAUGCAGGAUGAGAAAGGCCAAAGAGGACUUCUUCAAAGACUACUGCAGCUGUGGUGCAGCCAGUUUAGCCUUCCAGGAUUUUCAGAAAACACAAUCCAGAGAUGAGUUUUCAUCACCCAGUGGAACUCUCUCAGACCUGUCAGCCAUUCCAGAGGUCACACAGCACCCACUCAUGUCGACCAGUGGAGGAGUUACAGGUGAUGCUUUAACACUCGUCCCUCCGUGGAGGAAGAGCCUAAACCAAAGGAGUUACACUGAGGGGGAGGUCCACGGGGACAGCACUGAGGGGCUCUCCAUCACUCAGCACACACUGAGUGAAAACAACACAUGGGCCAGAGUCAAAGACAUGGUAAGGAAGACUAAGUUAAGGAAUCACAGCAGGCUGGGAACAGCCUCAGCUUCACUGAAGAUGUCCUGCCCACAGCUCUACAGACCUGAUCUGGAACCAGUACAAUCAUCUGGAACAAGCAGGAACUCUAUGAUUGCCUUGGGCCACCGGAGUACACUGGACUUCCCGUGGCUUGAGUAAGGAUCCAGGUAGUGAAGAGUGCUUUUUAUAAAAGAGCAGAACGACUUUAACAAAGACCAAAUGAUGAUGGCCAGACGACUGGGUUGUAGCAUCUCCAAAAUAAUAAGAACAGUGAUAUAGUUUUGAGUACUAAAGGGUCUGCUAUCCUUAUAGUGACAUAAUUUCAUUAUCAGAAGAUAAACUGUGAAGACUUCUGCAAACCUGGCUGUUUAUUAUGGACUAUACAGAUACACACAUAGCAAAAUGUGCAGGGUCCACAUACAGGGACAUAAAUUAUGACAUGUUUUUACUUAUGUCCUUUUAUUUGUUUGUUUGUUCCUCAUUAAAUGCAAUGCUGUGCAAAAGCCUUGAGGCACCACCAUUUCUUUCAGAUUUUGCUUCCAGACUGUCUUGGAUUUUGUGUAAUAGUUCUCCACUCAGUUUUCACUUUCAAGGCUUUUAUUUAUGAAUGUUUUAUGGAAUCAGGAAAAGGGGAGGACAAAGAGGAUGUAGCAGGUGUAAAAGUAUCUGCAGCACGUGAACAGUAUCUGAAAGUGAUGUACUUAAGAAAUGAGAUCAAAUCCAGCAAAGAUCUGACACAUGACCAGAGAGAUGCAUCUGCCUCAUCUACUCUUCACCAAAGCCUCAUCAGAAACAGCCUCAGUAGAAGGCUGGCUGUCAGGAAGCCAUUCUUAAAGAUGAGGUAUGCCACAGUGCACAGGAACUGGACUGAAAAUCAGUGUCAGCGGGACUGAUGGGGUGCUGAAGCCAAUCAGCGAAUCAAGAUGUGAUUGGCUGAUUUCUGCCACGUGUGUUCUCAGUCAAGAAAUUACUUUAACUGUCUGACUUGUGGCCCAUUUCCAUUGGCAGCCAUAUAUCCCAUACAUGGCUAUUACAUGUUCUCUAUCAUGUUUUAUGCUUUGAAUCAUGAGCUGUUCCUUUCCUCCGUCUUGUGUUUGUUUUUGCAGAAACAGCCUGUCUGAUCGGACCUCCUCGCUCCUGAGUGUAACAAGUAGUUGUAAACUUUCUGUAUUUACAUUCAUGAAGUCAUCUUUUGAUUGUAGACUUUGACAUCUGCUUCUGUGAGACUGUUGUGCUGAGCUGGCUAGUUCAGUCAUUCUUUUUCAAGAAUGUUCAAGACUUUUUAUUUGACAGCUGCUAAAAUCUGCAAUCUCUCCAGCCUAAGUAUGGCCUCUUCCACAGCAGCUCCUGUGACCUCAUAUUGAGACUUGUAGUGCACAGCUACCAAUGCAGGUUCAACAUUUCACAGCACGUCCAGUGUAACAAGAGAAUAAAACAUCAUCUGGCCAUGAAACUGCUUGUCAGCUGUUCUUACUUUGUUAUUUCUUAAUGUUCAGCCUCUGGAAAUGGGAGGUGUAAAAUCCUGUCUGCAUGCUCUCUGUAACUGUGUGAUAAUGUCUUUG